AAAAAAAAUGCAGUUGUUUUUUUGUGUGUGUUUUUUAGCGCUUUUGGAAGAAGUACUUGUUUGUUUAUGUGAUGCUGGGGCUCAGAUCCAGAGCUCUACAGUCUAAGCAAACAGUCUACCUCUGAACCAUAUCCUAGCCCUGGAAGAAUUAUCUUAAUCAUCAACAAUUUAGUAUAUUAGUUUAAAUAAUUUUUGCCUAAUCAUUAACAAUUAACUAGGACCUUUUUU
This is a long non-coding RNA of Perognathus longimembris pacificus (Pacific pocket mouse), 228 nucleotides long. RefSeq lists it as uncharacterized. The transcript has 2 exons. The record is from RefSeq and is a predicted model, not a curated record. NCBI's taxonomy places the organism in Eukaryota, Metazoa, Chordata, Mammalia, Rodentia, Heteromyidae.